RNAcentral lists this ribosomal RNA (253 nucleotides) under uncultured bacterium. RNAcentral describes it as "partial 16S ribosomal RNA". It matches the Rfam family "Bacterial small subunit ribosomal RNA", at positions 524 to 776 of the family's 1533-position model. The record is from RNAcentral.
UACGUAGGGGGCUAGCGUUGUCCGGAUUUAUUGGGCGUAAAGCGCGUGUAGGCGGCCAGAUAGGUCUGCUGUGAAAACUCGAGGCUCAACCUCGAGCUGUCGGCGGAAACCAUCCGGCUAGAGUCCGGAAGAGGAGAGUGGAAUUCCCGGUGUAGCAGUGAAAUGCGUAGAGAUCGGGAGGAACACCAGUGGCGAAGGCGGCUACCUGGACCAGCACUGACACUGAGGCACGAAAGCGUGGGGAGCAAACAGG